UCCGAGUUGACCCCGGCAGUCCCCCUAGAGUGCCCAACUGAAUGAUGGCAACUAGGGGCGAGGGUUGCGCUCGUUGCGGGACUUAACCCAACAUCUCACGACACGAGCUGACGACAGCCAUGCAGCACCUGUGCACGGGCUCCGAAGAGGGGCCGGUGUUUCCACCGGCUUUCCCGUGCAUGUCAAGCCUAGGUAAGGUUCUUCGCGUUGCAUCGAAUUAAUCCACAUAAUCCACCGCUUGUGCGGGUCCCCGUCAAUUCCUUUGAGUUUUAACCUUGCGGCCGUACUCCCCAGGCGGUCAACUUCACGCGUUAGCUUCGUUACCAAGGAAUUGCUUCCCCGACAACCAGUUGACAUAGUUUAGGGCGUGGACUAC
RNAcentral lists this unclassified non-coding RNA (376 nucleotides) under uncultured Gammaproteobacteria bacterium. RNAcentral describes it as "contains 16S-23S intergenic spacer region". The record is from RNAcentral. Lineage: Bacteria; Pseudomonadati; Pseudomonadota; Gammaproteobacteria.